RNAcentral lists this ribosomal RNA (420 nucleotides) under uncultured bacterium. RNAcentral's name for it is "bacterial SSU rRNA". It matches the Rfam family "Bacterial small subunit ribosomal RNA", at positions 356 to 773 of the family's 1533-position model. The record is from RNAcentral.
AGGGAAUAUUGGGCAAUGGACGCAAGUCUGACCCAGCCAUGCCGCGUGCAGGAUGAAAGCCCUAUGGGUUGUAAACUGCUUUUAUACGGGAAAAAACUCCUCGAUGCGUCGAGGAUUGAUGGUACUGUAAGAAUAAGCAUCGGCUAACUCCGUGCCAGCAGCCGCGGUAAUACGGAGGACGCAAGCGUUAUCCGGAUUUAUUGGGUUUAAAGGGUGCGUAGGCGGAAUGAUAAGUCAGUGGUGAAAGCCUACAGCUUAACUGUAGAACUGCCGUUGAUACUGUCAAUCUAGAGUAUGUUUGAAGUGGGCGGAAUGUAGCAUGUAGCGGUGAAAUGCUUAGAUAUGCUACAGAACACCAAUUGCGAAGGCAGCUCACUAAACCAUAACUGACGCUGAGGCACGAAAGCGUGGGGAGCAAAC